RNAcentral lists this long non-coding RNA (739 nucleotides) under Homo sapiens (human). RNAcentral describes it as "HSALNT0283927". Lineage: Eukaryota; Metazoa; Chordata; Mammalia; Primates; Hominidae. The record is from RNAcentral.
UGAUGGAGUUACAUUUACCCUAGUUGAUCUACAACCAUCCAUGGCCUAGUUUUUAAGGAUCAGCUGAUGUACCUCUGAUGUCACCACCUGGUACUUUGCCAUCAGUCUAUCUUCUUCCUGGCUACGUCUCAGAUAUGCUAGUGUGGUUUUUACUUGAUGUUUAGCUCUAAGUUAUCAUUUAACAUUUUUCAUUAUGUCACUAUAUCAGAACUUCUGGCAUGUUAUUUAUUUAUUUAUUUUACUGUUAUCAUCAUUGCUAAAAGCUAUUGCAUUUAACCAAAGCUUUAAAACCAGUCCUCUUUUAGAUUGCCUUAUAAACGAUGUUUAAUUCAUCCAGCGAAUUUGGAUCUCUUAAUAUUCACUAAUCUUUUUUUUUUUGGUUUCUCAGUACUUUCACCCAUCUUAUCUAUUAAAAUUGUUACACUAAUGUCUUCUGAUAACGUGUGUGCUUUAGUUCCUAAAAUUACUUUGCAUUUUCAGUUCAGAAGUAUUUCAUUCCUAGACUACUAGGGGCACUUUUAAGAAAUUCCUUAAAUAUUUGUAAAGUGCCUAAAAUGAGCAGGAAGUUAUGACUCCUAUAAAGACGAAUAAGAUAUUCCAUAGCCUAGGAAAUUUUUAUAAUUGAAAAUAUGACUUUUUCUGCUUCUUCAUAGUGUUUGCCUUAGUGGCUUAUUUCGUUGUGUUUAUUGCACAGCUGUGGAGAUGAAUAACAUACUAAAUAAAUAAAGUUAAUGUGGUU